Molecule: RNA transcript, 3280 nt
Organism: Rhineura floridana
Lineage: Eukaryota; Metazoa; Chordata; Lepidosauria; Squamata; Rhineuridae
Gene: PGPEP1
Gene name: pyroglutamyl-peptidase I
Exons: 7
Source: RefSeq, a predicted model, not a curated record
GCUCACACCUUAGUGGGCGGGCUCUGGGCCCUGAUGGGGGGGCCGGAGCGCCGCUUGCUCCCUCAGUCAGUCGCCUCAAGUUGGCCGGGCAGGAGGGAGGAGAGGAAGGGAAGGGAGAAUCAUGGAGAAGCCCCGACGGCUUGUGGUGGUGACGGGGUUCGGCCCAUUUGGGGAACAUUCUGUCAAUGCCAGCUGGAUCGCAGUUCAGGUAGGGCUGCGAGAGGCCUCCAUGCCCGAAAGCCAUUGCUGCCCGUACGUGUGGAUGACCCUGAGCCAGAUGGGGCCAAGGAGCUGGAGAAGUUGGGUCUAGGAGAAGACGUGGAUCUGCAUGUCUACGAAAUUCCGGUUGAGUACCAGGCCGUGCAGCGGCUCAUCCCUGCCUUAUGGAAGAAGCACAACCCACAACUUGUGGUUCACGUGGGCCUGUCCGGCAUGGCCACAACAGUGACGCUGGAAAAAUGUGGCCAUAAUGUCGGCUACCGUGGCUUGGACAACUGCCGCUUCUGCCCGGGGUCCCACUGCUGCAUCGAAGGGGGCCCAGAGUGCAUUGAUUCGGUCAUUGACAUGGACGCUGUGUGCAAGAGGGUCUCCACCUUGGGGCUGGAUGUCGCUGUCACGAUAUCGAAGGACGCUGGCAGGUACCUCUGCGACUUCACGUACUACACCUCCCUGUACCACAGCCACGGCCAGUCCGCCUUCGUCCACGUGCCCCCGCUGGGCAGGCCGUACAGCGCGGAGCAGCUGGGGCGCACCCUCCAGGCCAUCAUUGAGGCGAUGCUCAGCGUCUUGAAACAUUCUGAGAGCAACAUCAAUUGCCACAAUGAACACUGAGCCCAAAGUCCUCGUCCAUUUUGCUCCCUCACUGUUGCACUUCCAAAACAAACAAAAACACAACCUCCCUGCAGAGUCCUGGCUGGGCGGAGGGGGGCACAAUAUCGGGGGUGGGUGGGCAGGAGCUGCAUAUCCCUCUCAGCAUCUGUGCGGAGGCUGGAGAACAGAAACGAAUCCCAAGGAAACGACUCUCUUGUCCUCUUUCUAUUUUCCUCCUCGCCCUUCCUCGCUUCCCGUUGUCACUGAAGCAAACAUUGUUUUGUUUUGUUUUUAAAAAUUGAUGCAGGGGCUACACGCUGAAUCGAGGCGAUUUUAACCGUGUGUCCGGGAUUGUGAUCUUGCUUCCCGGAUUAUCUAAGAACCUAGGCCUUAGCAAAUCGUUCCAGUUUGUGGGAUUUUAUUUUCAAUUUGUGUUUGACUCCAGUUUUAACAGUUUGAAAAAGGGUUUUCGAAGAGCGGGACGCCUGCCCCGUGUAAAAUCCCAUAGCUUAAAGUAGCAGGCAGCGAAUGUUCCUGUGUGGGAAGACUUUAUAACAUUUCUUGGAGAGGAUCAGAACUUUAACUCUGCCAGCGCUCCAAAACGACAGCAGGAGGGGGAGAUGACAGCACAGCCCACUUAUGUUCGGUUUUUAAAUUUUGCCAGCAAUUUCAGCCGUUGGAAUGCAUUGCCAUACUGUGCAAGGAACAGUUGUUUUGCCUGCUGUGAUUGGGUUGGUGCAGUGCGCCAGCCUUUCCCAAGUUGGCACCUUUCAGAUAUUUUGGACUCCCAACUCCUAUCACCCCCAGUAGCUGGCAUGGCCAGUUGUGAGGAGUGAUGGGAGCGGCAGUCGAGCUGUCAGGCACCAGCUUGGGGGAGGCUGCCAGACACGCAGGAGUUGCUGUCCAAUGCUGUUCCUGAAAAUGGGCUUCCUGUUGGGUGCUGUUCUCCCCAACUCUCCACUAUGCUUCAUGUAGCGUCUGUGCUGUGUCGCGCCUGCCUCUCUCUCUCUCUCUCCCUCUCAUUCAGAUUACCCCCCCCCAAAAAGGUAGGUAUUUCUGCAAGGUUUGAAAUGUGAGUUAAAGACAGGACAAGUCAGUGUGAUGCUCAUUGUGACUGCCCUGCCUUCACUACGGUGUUGAAACUGCCCAAUAUGAAAGGAAUCCGGUCAUGAGGCUACUAAUUAACUUUUAUGAAGUAAUGCAUUCUUGGAACAGAAGGGGACUUUUCUGCAAAAAAAAGAGAUGGCCCACGGGUGCGCAGCCUCACUCCAUUAUGCUGGAGACUGAUUAACCCGCCACCCUCCAAGGGGUUUCAGCCCCACACGCUCUUACUAGACUUUGUUGGGUGACUCAACUAGCUGCUCCUCUCUGUGACCCUCCAGAUGUUGCUGGACUCCCAAAUCCCAGUGUCAUCCCUGACUGUCGGCCAUGUCGGCUGCUUUGGGCCGAGGGGAGGUGGAGGACCAGCAAGACCCAGUGGUCUCCACAGUCCCUUUUUAAUGGGUGGCUUUCAGCAUGCAAAGAAUGUGCUCUGCCACUGUGUAGGACGUUGGCUUGGAUGGGGAACCUUUGUUGGACUCCGAAUGUUAUUGGACUUCCAACUCCUAUCCGCCUAACCAGGCUCCAUGCUGGGAAUUGGAAGUCCAUCAGAUGUUCCCCUUCCCUUGCCAUAAGAUGCACUCCCUUCCCUCGGGAGACAAGGGCUCUUCUAAAUGGAGGCCUCCCUCCAUCUCUCUCAUUCUGUAGAGAAUUAUGCUUCUAAAAUCUGGGAGUCCACUGUUGCUGGAGUCCCAGGUCCCAUCAUGACAGUUGGCCAUGCUGGAAUGUGGGGGUCCAACAACAUCUGAGACCCUCACCAGUGUUCUCCAGCUGUGCUCUAUGGAGCUGCCUAUUCAACAAGGCCACCCCCUCCCUGUUGCCGAGGUAGGAGAGAAGGGGGACACUCCACGUUUCAGUUCUUAACAGAUGGGACGUCAGAGAGAAACGUCAUCCGUUGUGCGGGGCCAUACUUCCUCAGCCUCUGCAGCAGGAGACAGUUUCUGCUUCAUCAGCCCCUGAACUGCCAAGCACACCUUUCAAAAUUGGUGGUGAUGCAGGCGGUGAACACUGGGAAGGGACAUCGCGCAGUGGCAGAGCCUUCUGAAAUCAUGGAAGAGUUGCUGCCCGUCAGAGUGGACAAUACUGAGCUAGAUGGACCCCUGGCCUGAGGGUACGAGGCAGCUUUCUCUGCUCCUGUUGUUUCCCCAUCUCCUCAGGAAUCCCCUACCGUUAAAGCUCCAGUGAUUGGUGCCCCCCCCAUACGUUGCUAGCUAGAAAAUGUAAUUUAUAAUCUUCCGGUUUUUGCAAACCAUUUAAGGGGGGGAGCUGUUUCUCUGAAGAGCCUGCAUUUUCGGGAGCCAGCACUUGGGGGAUGAUGAUUUGUUCCUAAAGUUGCAUUAAACUCAUUUUUUAAAUCUGUUAUAAAAUUAAA